This 1293-nucleotide long non-coding RNA is filed under the name Capra hircus (goat). Its description in RNAcentral is "lncRNA (ENSCHIG00010008618.1)". The record is from RNAcentral. Lineage: Eukaryota; Metazoa; Chordata; Mammalia; Artiodactyla; Bovidae.
CCAGCAAAUAAAUCAAUAUUAAAAAAAAAAAAAACCAACAGAAAAAUCUUUGCUUCUUGGUUGAAAGUUAAGAGGGAGAAAUGUUUCAUCUCUGAUUCAGACCUUGCUAGGCAAUUCAUACCUAAUAUUUGACAACUAAACACUUUCUCCCGUGGAGGAGGAAGUGGCCACCCACUCUAGUAUUCUUUUCUGGUAAAUUCCACAGACAGAGGAGACUGGCGGGCAAAAGUCCAUGGGGUCACAAAGAGCUGGAUAUGACUCAGCACACACACAUGACACUUUCUAGUCUUUUUAAAAAAAUUAAUUAAUUUUAAUUAGAAAAUAAUUACUUUACAAUAUUGUGAUGGNNNNNNNNNNNNNNNNNNNNNNNNNNAACCUGAAUACGUCACAGGUAUACGUGUGUCCCCACUAUCCUGAACCCCCCUCCCAACUCCCCCUCCACCCUAUCCCUCUGGGUUGUCCUGCUUCAUGCAUCAAACUUGCGCUGGUCAUCUACUUUACAUACGCUACUUCCUAGUCUUCAGAAUUGCUUUCAGCUUGAUGCAUUGCUCAUUGCCCUUUCUUGGAUGGACUUGUUACUCUUACUUUUUCACAGUGUGUCCUGCUGGGGGCUCUGGGGAAAGUGGUCUGCUGUCCCCUCAGCCCCCUUUGCUUGCAUCAAGCCAUCAAUGAUACCUUCACUGUGGUGCGUUUGUGAUGGCCCUUGGACACUGGGGUCUUUGGACAGGUUAGUGGGUUGGAGGUCUAGGGGUGGUGGCAAGGCUACCAAUUGAAACUGAUCACACACCUCAGAGUCCUUGAGACAAAUCCAGUCAUGCCUUGUUUAACAAGGUGAAAGAGUCUACAGUGAUCCCUAAUCAUAUCAGGGGUUCUUAGAGAAACAAGUAAUGAUGUCACUGAUGUAACAAACAUUGGUCAUUAUUUUAAUGUUUAAGAGUGUCUUACAAUAUCAACACUGUUUCUCAGACUGCGAAGUUUGCCUGCGGAAAAUCUCACUAAAACGUAUGCAUGUAAAAAGCCCUGAACAGACUACAAGAUGUCUAAAAUAGUCAAUGUUAAUAGUAAUCAAAAAAAUAGAAGCGCUAAACUUUAUUUUCACCUAUGGAAGUAGAAAAGUCAAGAGGGCAGUAAAACACUACACUUGGUUAUUGAUUUGGGGAAGUGUUGUCGCUGUUCAGUCGCUAAGUCAUGUCUGACUCCGCCACUCCAUGGCCUAGCGCUCGUCGCUUCUCCACUAUCCCCUGGAGUUUGCUCAAACUCAUGUCCAUUGAGCUGGCGAUGCUAUCUAACGAU